CUUAACACAUGCAAGUCGAACGGAAAGGCCCUGCUUUUGUGGGGUGCUCGAGUGGCGAACGGGUGAGUAACACGUGAGUAACCUGCCCUUGACUUUGGGAUAACUUCAGGAAACUGGGGCUAAUACCGGAUAGGAGCUCCUGCUGCAUGGUGGGGGUUGGAAAGUUUCGGCGGUUGGGGACGGACUCGCGGCUUAUCAGCUUGUUGGUGGGGUAGUGGCUUACCAAGGCUUUGACGGGUAGCCGGCCUGAGAGGGUGUCCGGCCACAUUGGGACUGAGAUACGGCCCAGACUCCUACGGGAGGCAGCAGUGGGGAAUAUUGCACAAUGGGCGGAAGCCUGAUGCAGCAACGCCGCGUGCGGGGUGACGGCCUUCGGGUUGUAAACCGCUUUCGCCUGUGACGAAGCGUGAGUGACGGUAAUGGGUAAAGAAGCACCGGCUAACUACGUGCCAGCAGCCGCGGUGAUACGUAGGGUGCGAGCGUUGUCCGGAUUUAUUGGGCGUAAAGGGCUCGUAGGUGGUUGAUCGCGUCGGAAGUGUAAUCUUGGGGCUUAACCCUGAGCGUGCUUUCGAUACGGGUUGACUUGAGGAAGGUAGGGGAGAAUGGAAUUCCUGGUGGAGCGGUGGAAUGCGCAGAUAUCAGGAGGAACACCAGUGGCGAAGGUGGUUCUCUGGGCCUUUCCUGACGCUGAGGAGCGAAAGCGUGGGGAGCGAACAGGCUUAGAUACCCUGGUAGUCCACGCUGUAAACGGUGGGUACUAGGUGUGGGGUCCAUUCCACGGGUUCCGUGCCGUAGCUAACGCUUUAAGUACCCCGCCUGGGGAGUACGGCCGCAAGGCUAAAACUCAAAGGAAUUGACGGGGCCCCGCACAAGCGGCGGAGCAUGCGGAUUAAUUCGAUGCAACGCGUAGAACCUUACCUGGGUUUGACAUGGAUCGGGAGUGCUCAGAGAUGGGUGUGCCUCUUUUGGGGUCGGUUCACAGGUGGUGCAUGGCUGUCGUCAGCUCGUGUCGUGAGAUGUUGGGUUAAGUCCCGCAACGAGCGCAACCCUUGUUCACUGUUGCCAGCACGUUAUGGUGGGGACUCAGUGGAGACCGCCGGGGUCAACUCGGAGGAAGGUGGGGAUGACGUCAAGUCAUCAUGCCCCUUAUGUCCAGGGCUUCACGCAUGCUACAAUGGCUGGUACAGAGAGUGGCGAGCCUGUGAGGGUGAGCGAAUCUCGGAAAGCCGGUCUCAGUUCGGAUUGGGGUCUGCAACUCGACCUCAUGAAGUCGGAGUCGCUAGUAAUCGCAGAUCAGCAACGCUGCGGUGAAUACGUUCCCGGGGCUUGUACACACCGCCCGUCAAGUCAUGAAAGUUGGUAACACCCGAAGCCGGUGGCCUAACCGUUGUGGGGGAGCCGUCGAAGGUGGGACUGGUGAUUAGGACUAAGUA
RNAcentral lists this ribosomal RNA (1433 nucleotides) under uncultured organism. RNAcentral describes it as "partial small subunit ribosomal RNA". It matches the Rfam family "Bacterial small subunit ribosomal RNA". The record is from RNAcentral.